Long non-coding RNA from Salvia splendens (bonfire salvia), 438 nucleotides. RefSeq lists it as uncharacterized. Lineage: Eukaryota; Viridiplantae; Streptophyta; Magnoliopsida; Lamiales; Lamiaceae. The record is from RefSeq and is a predicted model, not a curated record. The transcript has 3 exons.
CAGGCUUAAUAUCAGGAAAACGAGGAAUUAUCUGUGAAAGUGUUCGGCUGGAAUUCCAAGAGCUCAUUACAAUGUGUGGUGGACCUAUGAGAAACUAAGAGCUGAAUUCUUUCUGAAAUUUCUCAAGGUAGUGCCUGACUACAUCAACACGACUGAUGAGCCUUCCAACAACCAGAAAACUGGCUUUGGAAAAACAAAGUGGUUUUUGGCUUUUGUCAGGGCUGUCUCACAGACAGGAAUGUCUCUUUCCAUAGUAGAGCACAGACUAAUUGGGACUAAAAUGCUGCCAUAGUUUGUCUACUAUCCAAUCAAUUCUUGACAUGUAUACGCAGUAGAAUUACUGUCCAUACCACAUCCACACAAUAAUGCCAUACUUGCCUGAGAAGCACCCGGACAUCCAAGGAGGCAAUUGAAAUUGAAAAGUACGAAAGAUCUUAG